This 443-nucleotide ribosomal RNA is filed under the name uncultured bacterium. Its description in RNAcentral is "partial 16S ribosomal RNA". It matches the Rfam family "Bacterial small subunit ribosomal RNA", at positions 338 to 795 of the family's 1533-position model. The record is from RNAcentral.
CCUACGGGGGGCAGCAGUGGGGAAUAUUGGGCAAUGGGCGCAAGCCUGACCCAGCAACGCCGCGUGAAGGAAGAAGGCCUUCGGGUUGUAAACUUCUUUUGUCAGGGACGAACCCAAUGACGGUACCUGACGAAUAAGCCACGGCUAACUACGUGCCAGCAGCCGCGGUAAUACGUAGGUGGCAAGCGUUAUCCGGAGUUACUGGGCGUAAAGGGCGCGUAGGCGGGAGAGCAAGUCAGAUGUGAAAUUCCAGGGCUCAACCCUGGAACUGCAUUGGAAACUGUUUUUCUUGAGUGAUGGAGAGGCAAGCGGAAUGCCGUGUGUAGCGGUGAAAUGCGUAGAUAUACGGAGGAACACCAGGGGCGAAGGCGGCCUGCUGGACAUUAACUGACGCUGAGGCGCGAAAGCGUGGGGAGCAAACAGGAUUAGAUACCCCAGUAGUC